Molecule: long non-coding RNA, 156 nt
Organism: Salvelinus namaycush (lake trout)
Lineage: Eukaryota; Metazoa; Chordata; Actinopteri; Salmoniformes; Salmonidae
Exons: 3
Source: RefSeq, a predicted model, not a curated record
ACCAGGUGAUCAACUGUAAGAUCCUCUCUGUCACCCAGAUGACCAGACUGGUUCUCCCACGCAUGGUUGCAAGAGGGAACGGUCUGAUCAUCAACAUGUCUUCAGAGGCAGGUGCUCAACCACAACCCAUGCUGUCUCUCUACUCCGCCACCAAGG